Molecule: ribosomal RNA, 800 nt
Filed under: unidentified
Description: Acarospora brodoana partial large subunit ribosomal RNA
Rfam family: Eukaryotic large subunit ribosomal RNA
Source: RNAcentral
AAAUUUCAUCUAAAGCUAAAUAUUGGCCAGAGACCGAUAGCGCACAAGUAGAGUGAUCGAAAGAUGAAAAGCACUUUGGAAAGAGAGUUAAACAGUACGUGAAAUUGUUGAAAGGGAAGCGCUUGCAACCAGACUUGCCCGCGGGUGAUCAGCCGGUGUUCUCACCGGUGCACUCGCCCGUGGUCAGGCCAGCAUCGGUUUGGGCGGCCGGACAAAGUCCCCCGGAAUGUGGCUCCCCUCGGGGAGUGUUAUAGCCGGGGGUGCAAUGCGGCCCGCCUGGACCGAGGACCGCGCUUCGCGCUAGGAUGCUGGCGUAAUGGUUGUAAGCGACCCGUCUUGAAACACGGACCAAGGAGUCUAACAUCUAUGCGAGUGUUUGGGUGUCAAACCCAUGCGCGUAAUGAAAGUGAACGGAGGUGGGAACCCCCAAGGGUGCACCAUCGACCGAUCCUGAUGUCUUCGGAUGGAUUUGAGUAAGAGCAUAGCUGUUGGGACCCGAAAGAUGGUGAACUAUGCCUGAAUAGGGUGAAGCCAGAGGAAACUCUGGUGGAGGCUCGCAGCGGUUCUGACGUGCAAAUCGAUCGUCAAAUUUGGGUAUAGGGGCGAAAGACUAAUCGAACCAUCUGUUACUAGAUGGCAUACGGGCGUACAAGCCCAAGUAGUCCCCGGUCCUGGGGGCGACAUCGUCGGUCUUGCGGGGACGCCUUCAGGUUACCCGGAGUGGGCUCUCAGACCCAUCCACAGACUAAGUGGCGGUGGCCGCCUCACCCGAGCGCGGUUAGGAUAUAGCCGAUCCUCCC